Molecule: transfer RNA, 71 nt
Filed under: Ruminiclostridium hungatei
Lineage: Bacteria; Bacillati; Bacillota; Clostridia; Eubacteriales; Oscillospiraceae
Also listed under: 1 other name
Description: Clostridium hungatei tRNA
Rfam family: tRNA
About the family: Transfer RNA (tRNA) molecules are approximately 80 nucleotides in length. Their secondary structure includes four short double-helical elements and three loops (D, anti-codon, and T loops). Further hydrogen bonds mediate the characteristic L-shaped molecular structure. tRNAs have two regions of fundamental functional importance: the anti-codon, which is responsible for specific mRNA codon recognition, and the 3' end, to which the tRNAs corresponding amino acid is attached (by aminoacyl-tRNA synthetases). tRNAs cope with the degeneracy of the genetic code in two manners: having more than one tRNA (with a specific anti-codon) for a particular amino acid; and 'wobble' base-pairing, i.e. permitting non-standard base-pairing at the 3rd anti-codon position.
Source: Rfam by way of RNAcentral
GGCGCCAUAGCCAAGUGGUAAGGCAGAGGUCUGCAAAACCUUUAUCCCCAGUUCAAAUCUGGGUGGCGCCU